UGUUCCAUAGCUCAGUUGGUAGAGCGACGGACUGUUAAUCCGUUGGUCCCUGGUUCGAGUCCAGGUGGAACAG
RNAcentral lists this transfer RNA (73 nucleotides) under Methanobrevibacter sp. Its description in RNAcentral is "tRNA-Asn". It matches the Rfam family "tRNA". Rfam says of the family: Transfer RNA (tRNA) molecules are approximately 80 nucleotides in length. Their secondary structure includes four short double-helical elements and three loops (D, anti-codon, and T loops). The record is from RNAcentral. Lineage: Archaea; Methanobacteriati; Methanobacteriota; Methanobacteria; Methanobacteriales; Methanobacteriaceae.